This is a non-coding RNA of Pelobates cultripes (western spadefoot toad), 224 nucleotides long. Lineage: Eukaryota; Metazoa; Chordata; Amphibia; Anura; Pelobatidae. The record is from the annotation of a GenBank genome assembly.
GGACGGCGCCUUCGGCUCCCUGGUACUCACACUGCCGCUGGGGGUUUCUCCCGACGUGCCAACCCCCUUGUCCACUCUGUUUCAAACGGCAAGUACUCUCCCACUAUUUUCCUCACGAACUGCACGGUUUUCUCAGGGGGGUUGGGUCCUAAGUAAACCAGCAGCGCGGUAACCUCUCUGUCAAAAGCCUCCUGAGUGUUGCUGGGUGCUAUGCUUGCUCUGAC